RNAcentral lists this ribosomal RNA (301 nucleotides) under uncultured bacterium. Its description in RNAcentral is "partial 16S ribosomal RNA". It matches the Rfam family "Bacterial small subunit ribosomal RNA", at positions 509 to 807 of the family's 1533-position model. The record is from RNAcentral.
CAGUAGCCGCGGGAAUACGGAGGAUCCAAGCGUUAUCCGGAAUCAUUGGGUUUAAAGGGUCCGUAGGCGGUCUUGUAAGUCAGUGGUGAAAGCCCAUCGCUCAACGGUGGAACGGCCAUUGAUACUGCAGGACUUGAAUUAUUGGGAAGUAACUAGAAUAUGUAGUGUAGCGGUGAAAUGCUUAGAGAUUACAUGGAAUACCAAUUGCGAAGGCAGGUUACUACCAAUUGAUUGACGCUGAUGGACGAAAGCGUGGGUAGCGAACAGGAUUAGAGACCCCCGUAGUCCCUGUCUCUUAUAC